RNAcentral lists this ribosomal RNA (253 nucleotides) under uncultured bacterium. RNAcentral's name for it is "partial 16S ribosomal RNA". It matches the Rfam family "Bacterial small subunit ribosomal RNA", at positions 524 to 776 of the family's 1533-position model. The record is from RNAcentral.
UACAGAGGUUGCAAACGUUGUUCGGAAUCACUGGGCAUAAAGCGCACGUAGGCGGCUAAGUAAGUGUGGAGUGAAAUCCCACGGCUCACCCGUGGAACGGCUUCGCAUACUGCUCGGCUCGAGGAAGGUAGGGGAGAGCAGAACUCUUGGAGGAGCGGUGAAAUGCGUAGAUAUCAAGAGGAAUACCAGUGGCGAAGGCGGCUCUCUGGUCCGUUUCUGACGCUGAGGUGCGAAAGCUAGGGUAGCAAACGGG